GUCGAAGGAGCACGCUCAGUAUUUUACGGCAGCAGAGCAAGAACUCUUGAUUGAGGGAUUUCAGGAGUUUCAGAGUUUAAUUAAAACACAAGGGAACACUGCAAAGGCUGCAAAAGCAAGGAGAGAGGGCUGGCAGAAAGUUGCUGACAAAUUAAACUCCAACCAAGAAAAGGGCAGAGCAAAAAAAGACAGGUGGUGGUCCUGCACCCCCUCGUCACAUCCCGGCAGAGGAGCUGGCCCUAUAGGGUUGAAUGCCACCAGACCGUUGUUGAGGACAUCCCUGGGGGCAGCUCUUCCUUAGACGAGCAGCCGGGGUGCAGUAGCAGCAGCACCUUCAUAACUGUUUUACAUAACACCAUCACUUCUACCUGUUCCCAUGCAAGGGGUGACUGAAGCAUGCACAAUUCCAAAUACACACAUCCUCGCUCAGCUUCACGGAAAACGGCGUCCAGGGCAGAUCUGUACACACACAGAGAGGGAUGUCCAGGUUAGAAACGAUCCACUCAGCUGGGAUCGGCUACAGGUGUGACGGUGAGCACAGGUGCGCAGGCCAGGGGCGGGAGCCUGUAAUGAGCACCGCUCCGGCAGAGAAGAGAGAGAGAGAGAGAGAGAGCAAAAAAACCAAACAAAACAUGUUGCCAAACACCAAGUGAGCCAGCAGGGCUCCAGGGGACCAUGACCAUGACAAAAAUUAAAUUAAAACAACACAAACAAACAGCAUUGUAGCAUUACCUUAUUAUCCAGAAGUCCAGCCUGUGCAGCUGAAUGACUAUGUGCACUGCAGAUCAAUGACAUUGAUCUGUUGAAAUUGGUAUAGUUUAUAUUCACAUUGAUCCUGAGCACCAACUAAAGGAAAGAAAACAUUCGUUAAAGCCCGAUGCAAACUGUUUCCAAUCAUUUUAAGGAAAUGUGUUGUCCAACCCGUUUUUGUUACAUCUCUUGCAGGUGUGUCGGUGUGUCUGCGUUACAUGACUGACACUGUGCAGCCAAACUUCCCACUCUUCACUCUCAGUCCAGGCAUAUCCCCUCUGAGUCUGCAGGGUAGCUUUGACACGUUCAUGCUGUCCUAUUAUGAUUCCUUCAGUGUGAACCUGCAGCCCAUUGUGCACUUAUGGCCGGACAUUAAGCAGGACAUCUGGACCAGUGUCUGCCUCACUGUGGACACCAGUAAGAGUGUGGUUCAGAUGUUCAGUGGCGGGUAUAUGAGCCCCAGGAAGGUAAUGCCUUAUCAGGUGAGAAUGGCGACAAAGUUAGAAUCAGCAUGUUAAAAACUGUGUAGAUGUAGAGACAGAAAGACAAAUUUACUAAACAGAGCAAAGCAGUGUGCGAUUUUUACUUGAAAUGUCUCCAAUAAGCGGAAUAGACACCUUUCCGAGGAAGUUCAUUUUCCUCACUUGUAUCCAUGAUUUCAUUCUCUCACAGCUCAUGGUCACAAGGAAAAAUAGAUCCGCUGAUAAACUUCGAGCUUUGCCUUAAUAUUCAGCCAUCUCUUAAUCACAUUACAGUCUGUCUCUCAAGAAACAAGACCCUGAGAUAGCUGGACUCCACCAGCUGGAACAGUAACUCCUUUCCACCUUUUUUGUGCCUGAGACUUCAACAGAAGACAUAAUAAUGACAACACAGAAUCAUUUUUGUUUCGUUUUGUUUAUAUCUAAGUGAAGAAAAAAAAAUCAAAUGACUCCUUCAUUGUAAUCCAGAUUUCUAAAAGGCUUUAAAAAGUAGACAAUAUUAUUCUCAAAAUCACUUAAUCAUCUGUAAUUUUGAUCUUCUCUUUUUUCUGUGUGUUCAGUAUGUGUGGUCAGGCGAGCCUGUGAUUAGUUUCCCAGGCUUUGAUGGUCAGCUGACAGACGUCCAGGUGUGGGACUAUCCUCUGCGAUAUAGAGACAUCAUCUACUACAUGAGCAGAAGUUAUUACGGGUAAGAUCUCUAUGCUGAACUCACACACCGACCGUUUAAUCAUAACCACAGUAUAAAAGAAAAUAUUAAAGAUAUAAUUUUUUUUUUUUUUCAUUUAAAACAGGCCUUGACUUAAAUUUGUUUUUUAAUGUUUAAGUUUUGUUUUAAAGGCUUUUUAAAAGUGUGUUUUGGUUUGGUUUUAGGUCUUACAGCGGCUCCGUCAUCUCCUGGUCCAACAUCAGAUACAAUAACAGAGGAAGGGCAGUCUUGGAGGACACCUUUGACAUGCGAGCAAAAGUUGAGCAAGAGAGUAGACGAAAGGAAAAGAAGAUGAGAUUCUUCAGUGUGGAGGAGGAAAACAAGCUGCUGCUUUAAGUCAGUCCCCACAAACUCCUUUGUUAAAAUGUUAAGAUUUCAACCAGAAAUAAACAUGUUUGCAGCCUGCUGCCAAAUAAACAAACAAAAGCUGGUGUUGUCGCUAUAAAUAGUUUCCACCUAUCCCACUGUUGCACCAGGCUGAAAACAUGUUCAUCUGUCCUGUGAAGCUGAGAUGUCUUUUUCCCAUUGGCUAAAAAGUGGAUGGUGGUCCUUCCCCUUCUUCUUUUGUAUUAAUGUAUAUAUCAGAGUUCACUUCAUGCAGCCGAACAGCGUAAUCGGUAAUCGGUUAUCUUUGUUUCACCAGCCUUUUUUGUUGUUUUUUCGAUCAUAAUCACUUGAAGUCGCCAAAUGUCAGUGGAAGUUUUUACACAGAGGUCAGGGCUGAGUUUAAUUUUCCCAUUGACUUCUAAAGGACAGUCUUUUUGAAGCUACAGGAGUUGCCAUCUGGUGGCCAAUAUGAAAAAUGCAGUUUUAAUGCACUUCCAAAAGCACCGACUCUGUAAGCGUAUAAUCUCAUAUUUUACUUGGAAGUUUUACUUUUAAACUAUGAAACGUCUUAAGAAAAAACAACAAUACAUCUCAAAUUUAUAAAGGAAUUCUGCUGUAGUCAUAGAAACCUGUCAGCAAGACUCACUGGGCUUACACUGUAAAGGAAAUGAGGAAAUAAUUAACUUUAUGACUUAAAUAAACAGAAAUUAUCCGUAAAUUAAACAAAAUGCCAAUUUUACUGUGUAAGAAAAUGAAAAUGAUAUUGUAAAUUGUGGGGGGAAAAUCAACAGAAAAACAAACAUUUUCCUCUGUUUCAUCAUAAAUACUGUACUUUUUCAGAGCAUGGGCUGCAGUCUGAAGUGGAUUAAUCCUGCCUUUUUACAUCUGUAUUUAAUAUUCAGUAUGUUGAUGUGUAUGUUGGAUAUUCUGUUAUUCAACUGUGCUUUUAUAUUGCUGAUGUAAAUGUGAUUAGCACUGUUGUCCCUUACCAACUUACAAGAAAAAAAUCAAUACAAUCAACGUUUGCAGGCCUAUGUCACCUUACAAUGAUAGAGCCAAGUCCAACUUAAUUGUUUAUGUAUUUUAAAAUUUCACAAUCACCGUACAAAUAUGAGUGUACAGGAAAGGAGUGUCCCCUUAUCUGUAAAAUAUCUGGAAUUUAGGCCAGGUUAAACCAUUGAAAAGCUCAGUAUACUCCUAAUAUACACAGGUUAUGUAAGAUGGUGAAAUAUUGUUUUUUUUCCCAAAAAUUACCAAGAAAUUAUCAACUACUUAAAUUUACUUACAAUGUAAUUAUUUCUUCAUUCGCAUAGAAAACAUGAAUUUAUGCAUAACUUAAAAUCACUUACACAGUACUUCACAUGAUUUCCAGAAUAGUGUCUCCUUUCCUGUAAAACAUCUGAAGUUAUGUAAUUAUUAAAAUUACUUAUUUACUACCGAAAAUGACUUACACAUUACAUACUUGAGUACAUACUAAAUUAAGUACUUGUGCAGUACAUAAUUUACUUACAGUAUAACUAUUUCUAGUGUGCCUAGCUUUAAUUAUUUGUAGGUAAACUUAAUUCUAACUUUAAAUAACAUACAUGGAAAUUACAUUUAAUUAUGCUCUUAGUCACGGGUAUUAUAAUGUAUUACUAAAAAGUGCUUAUUUUAAGCAAAUUUCCCACUUGUGGGACUAAUAAAGGUUUAUCUUAUCUUAUUCCUAAACUUACCCACUAACUGUCUUGUGUUCCAGCCUAACCUCAGCCGACCUGUCUCACUGUUGGAUUUCUCUUUCUAACAUGGCCAUGUCUUAUUUAUUUUACAAGUAAGUAAAUAAGUAAAACUUUAUAAGUACGUCAUAGGAGCCAACAAUGCAUAAAAAAACAAAAUUAGAGAAAUUAAUAAAAAGCUGAUUUUAAAAGAUGUUUUUAACUGGCUUUUAAAUAAGACCUUACCAGAGGCAGGUGAAAACACUGAGCACAUAUGAACCAAUGCACUGUAAGACACUUUCGAACAAAAGUGUAGUUAAAAUGUCCAGAGAGCAAGAAAACGCUGUCAUUGUACCACUAAGCUUCGUUACUGCUGCAAAACUGCCUAAGAUAACAGGUCGAGCUGAUGUGACAACCGUCUGCAUAGAUGCUGAGGAAGAGAUAUUAUUUCUUACAUUUCUGACCUUAAAACAAAAAAUGAAAGAAAAUAAGAAAAGAAAUAAGAAAAUAUAUACAACAUAAAGAGUCUUUAGAUAGUGUGCAGAUAACAUCAGUCUACCCAGUGUCAUAAAAAGAUUUUCACAGUUCUGCCCUUUUACUUAUUCUGUGGCCAUAAGGUUUGAAAACAGCCUCUGGGAAUCUUAUAUCCUCUUUCCGAAAUGCUUCAGUAUCAGAGGAAACAAAACAAAAGCUCAAGAACAAAAUGUGGAACUAAAAAUCUGUUUUGGUUACCGUUCAAUCUGUUUUCAUGUUUCAUGUUAGGUGGGACUUGUGGUCCUCCUACAAAAACUGUGUGUCAGAAAGAAUCUGUUUACCAAUCUGUUUGCUGCAUUACUAUGUGUAAACUAUUUCACAGAUGUAAAUACACGCACUGAAAUAUAAUGAAAUGAGGCUCUCUAGCAUUCUGUACUGAGAAUUAUCGUUGCAGCAUCAACAUACGCGCACACAUGCAGGAUAAAACUUCACGUUUCCACACAUUCAAACCUUCCUGCUCCUGUUUGAAAUAUGUUGCUUACUUGCGAUGAUUUUACAUCUCAACAUUUGUUACUGAGUGACGGAAAUAAGAUUUCCUUAAGAUUAUUCAGAGAUCUAGCAUCAGCGCUUGUAGACUUUAAAAAACUGCAGCAAACAGAAAGCUGCCUCUCUCCACUUUGUUUUGCCAGGUCUCCUACACCUGAAUGCCAAACCCUGUGGAGUGAAAAUGCAGAUACUCAUGCAUCAACCCAGCACCUCAACCUACUGAGCAGAAUGUGAUAGCCAACUGUAUCAAAAGCUGAGGUAAGGGCCAACAUGAGCAGCACAGAACAGUAACACUUAUCACUCUGCAUCAAAAUGUCAUUUGAUACUCUCAGACCAAGCCAAACAAAAUAUCUGACUCCAGGGAGCCCCUCCUUUCUUAUUUUUUACUGGGCUAAUAUUUCAGCUCAUGCUACCCUAACAUGGCACCCUUUCUUAAAUAAAUGUGUCUUGACUAAUGUACUCAUAGUAAACUGGUAUAUUCAGUCAGAAAAGUGUCUGGAGCUCUGUGUGAAAGUUUGGGCAACAAGUUUAAGGAAGUGAAAGAUGAAAUUUACUGACACAGCAAGCUGUUAAUACGAGAUAAAGUUCAGCACUGGUUUGAGUAGAGGAAGUAAAACCUCACAUACAGAUUUAAUGAAAGCUAAACUAACUUAAGAACUAGAAUUUCCAUAUAGUAUUGGUUCUUGUGUCAGUUUUACCUCUUGUUAAAUGAUGUGGAAAAGCUGUUGUGGUGAGCAGAGCUACUCAAUCUUUUAUUGUUAUUUUAGUCUAAAUAGACUGGAAUCAGCCUUUAUGGACUGUAUUCAUACUGCACAGCAGUCAUGACCUCUGUGUUGAACUUGCAGCCAGGUUGAGGUGUGUUUGCGGUUCAGGACAGCACAAUGAGACAUCACAUGGUCCUCUUCAUGAUAGAUUCCUCCAUGUAGACAGUUACAGCUCAGUGAACUGAACCGGAUUACUGACACAUUAUCAAUUAUUCAAAUAUUCUAAAAACAGGUCCAUUGCUUUUGUGUUGAUGUUUUUUUUAAAGUAUUUGAGCAGUGAGUUUCUGUCACACUGUGCUGUGUGGAUUGUUGAUUAACUUUAGCAGAGCCAAAUAUAGGAUGCAGGAGAGGCACGAAACUCAAAGGAAGCUUUCAAAGCUGAUAGUCCAGGAAGCAAACAAAGUCCAAAAUGCCCAAAACACACAGGAAUAAUGUCAGAGUCCAAACACCAGAAGUCAGAAGGGAUGCAAAUACAGGACGCACAGAGCAAGGAAACACACAGCUGCAAGAACAUCACGACAAAGGACAAAGGAAGACUGAGAAAAUAUAUACAAGAAAAAGACAGUUAACAUAAGAAUAAUAAUAAGAAGAAGAAGAAGACGUUUAUUUAUGUAGCGGUUUUUAAAACACACAGUUAUAAAGUGCUUCACAGUUUGGAUAAAAAACACAUUACAUUAAGUUUUACAUGUUAUCCAUGCAAACUCAGAGACGUAGGCACUGUCUAAACCAGGGGUCGGCAACCCUGGGCACGCGUGCCACAGCUGGCACGCGAAGGGUUAACUGAUGGCACUGAUGCGCCACUGAUGCAGUCUAUCUGGGUCAGAUAUAAACCAAGUUUAGGUGUAGUUUAUUUUCAUUGUGCUGACUUUUUACAGUCAGUUACAAUAAGCGGAAUCGUCCGGUAACGGAGUUUGUCCCGGACUUCAGCUAGAAUGGAAAAAGACACAAAGCUGGAGUUAUUCUGUGUCUUUACGCUGUCAGCUGCCUCUUCAUCUCUCAUUCUCUCCCCUCCCUCUCCUGUUGCUACUUAAAUCAUGAAACUCAUCAGUGAUCAGCUGAUCGGUAUUUCUGACGCAAGUCCGUCUCUCUUGUUUGUUUAUCGCCCACUUUGCGCCAGAAAGAGGAAACCUGCGGAUGUCGCGCUAAACAACAGCAGCACGUUUAAGCUUGAUCAGCUGUUGUUAGAAUUUAUUUAAUAUUAAUUUCUAGUAUCAGCUGAUGUUUGCUGGAGCCACAGCUGUAAAAGCUGCUGGUCAUGAUAUCGGUUUGGAUAUGUGGUGAGAGGGAAACAUGCAGAUGAAACCAGGAGAUGUCCUUACUGAAUCAUCAGAGCUGAACUGGUGAUGGAGAAACAGGUUUACCUUUUAGGUGACAUGGAUAAGUUGAAGGGAAGUCAUGAGCUGUUUCUGAGAGACAAAUAACACCAGGAUCCUUUUCUACGUAGCUGACAGCUGGUAACUGUGCAGGGGCGGGUCUAGCAAAGUUUUGCCAGGGGGCCAUGUAGGGCAUUAACAGGUAAAAGGGAGCACAAAGAAAUACUUUUCUUUCUUAUUCUCAUUUAAAAUGUCUAACUUUUAUUAAAUAAUUGUCCGAAUCUUACAACCAAAGUUUUUAUCUGAUGAAAAAUGUAUAGAAAUCAUCUGCUUCAGGAGCUGUCCGCUCAGCGCAGCAUCAGCACCGCAGAAA
Molecule: long non-coding RNA, 7423 nt
Organism: Oreochromis aureus
Lineage: Eukaryota; Metazoa; Chordata; Actinopteri; Cichliformes; Cichlidae
Source: Ensembl